Molecule: ribosomal RNA, 253 nt
Filed under: uncultured bacterium
Lineage: Bacteria
Description: partial 16S ribosomal RNA
Rfam family: Bacterial small subunit ribosomal RNA
Source: RNAcentral
UACAGAGGUCCCAAGCGUUGUUCGGAUUCAUUGGGCGUAAAGGGUGCGUAGGCGGCGCGGGAAGUCGGGUGUGAAAUCUCGGAGCUUAACUCCGAAACUGCAUUCGAUACUGCCGUGCUUGAGGACUGGAGAGGAGACUGGAAUUUACGGUGUAGCGGUGAAAUGCGUAGAUAUCGUAAGGAACACCAGUGGCGAAGGCGGCUCACUGGCCCGUAACUGACGCUGAGGCACGAAAGCGUGGGGAGCAAACAGG